This 460-nucleotide ribosomal RNA is filed under the name uncultured bacterium. RNAcentral's name for it is "partial 16S ribosomal RNA". It matches the Rfam family "Bacterial small subunit ribosomal RNA", at positions 338 to 795 of the family's 1533-position model. The record is from RNAcentral.
CCUACGGGCGGCAGCAGUGAGGAAUAUUGGUCAAUGGACGAGCGUCUGAACCAGCCAAGUCGCGUGAAGGAUGACUGCCCUAUGGGUUGUAAACUUCUUUUAUCUGGGAAUAAAAUGUUCCACGUGUGGGAUUUUGUAUGUACCAUAUGAAUAAGGCUCGGCUAACUCCGUGCCAGCAGCCGCGGUAAUACGGAGGAUCCGAGCGUUAUCCGGAUUUAUUGGGUUUAAAGGGAGCGUAGGUGGAUUGUUAAGUCAGUUGUGAAAGUUUGCGGCUCAACCGUAAAAUUGCAGUUGAAACUGGCAGUCUUGAGUACAGUAGAGGUGUGCGGAAUUCGUGGUGUAGCGGUGAAAUGCUUAGAUAUCACGAAGAACUCCGAUUGCGAAGGCAGUUCACUGGACUGCAACUGACACUGAGGCUCGAAAGUGUGGGUAUCAAACAGGAUUAGAUACCCCAGUAGUC